RNAcentral lists this ribosomal RNA (309 nucleotides) under uncultured bacterium. Its description in RNAcentral is "bacterial SSU rRNA". It matches the Rfam family "Bacterial small subunit ribosomal RNA", at positions 28 to 334 of the family's 1533-position model. The record is from RNAcentral.
GAUGAACGCUAGCGGCAGGCCUAACACAUGCAAGUCGAACGGUAACAUAAGAGCUUGCUCUUGAUGACGAGUGGCGCACGGGUGCGUAACGCGUAUGCAACCUACCCUGAUCAGGGGGAUAGCCCAGAGAAAUUUGGAUUAAUACCCCAUAAUAUUAUUGAUUGGCAUCAAUUAAUGAUUAAAACUCCGGUGGAUCAGGAUGGGCAUGCGUCCUAUUAGCUAGUUGGUGUGGUAACGGCACACCAAGGCAACGAUAGGUAGGGGUUCUGAGAGGAUGAUCCCCCACACUGGUACUGAGACACGGACCAG